AUGCAGUGUGUUGUUGAUUUCAUCAAGUAUCCUCUCAUCUUGUCAAGUUCAUGUUCAAUUCCUUCCAUUUACAGUCGGAGUGCUGCCCAAAUUAUAUCAUUCUUACUCCUUCUCUAUCUAGUUUUAACCGGAGUGGUUUCAAUAUCUAUCUUAUCACUAAACCUCUUGGUUCUCGUCGUAUCCCAUGUUCCUCUUCUAACAGAGUGCUUUCAACUUUGUUCAUCUUCAUUGUUUUCUUUCUUUCAUUUUGUUCGACCCCUCAAGGUUCGUGGUUUCACUCGUUCGUCAAAGAAGCAACUUAGUUUUACCUCUUCUCUUCCUCUUCCGUUUUCCCUCCGGUGCCAUCCUAGAUCUCGGGACGAGAUCCUCUUGUAG
This 375-nucleotide ribosomal RNA is filed under the name Triticum aestivum (bread wheat). RNAcentral's name for it is "partial small subunit ribosomal RNA". The record is from RNAcentral. Lineage: Eukaryota; Viridiplantae; Streptophyta; Magnoliopsida; Poales; Poaceae.